UACGAAGGUCCCAAGCGUUAUCCGGAUUUAUUGGGUUUAAAGGGUGCGUAGGCGGAUUAUUAAGUCAGUGGUGAAAGCCCCAGGCCCAACCUGGGAAUUGCCAUUGAUACUGAUGAUCUUGAGUAUAUUUGAGGUAGGCGGAAUGUGUCAUGUAGCGGUGAAAUGCUUAGAUAUGACACAGAACACCAAUUGCGUAGGCAGCUUACUAAACUGUAACUGACGCUGAGGCACGAAAGCGUGGGGAGCAAACAGG
This 253-nucleotide ribosomal RNA is filed under the name uncultured bacterium. RNAcentral describes it as "partial 16S ribosomal RNA". It matches the Rfam family "Bacterial small subunit ribosomal RNA", at positions 524 to 776 of the family's 1533-position model. The record is from RNAcentral.